AUGCUACUUUUUCUAAUUGCUGUUUGUAACAAAGAUUAGUCUGCAUGUGCGGAAGUACUUUCUUUUGUCGGGUGUGGAUAUCAUUGUCUGGGAUAGCGCAAGGCGCAAAAAUAAAUAAUUCUCUUAUCUCAAGUUCGGAGCAUCGUUUCCGUAAAAAGGAGUUCAAUCAAUUCCGAACGAGUUGCCGAAUUGCAUCAACGGGUGGUCUAAAGGCCGUCGUUAAGUGACAAAUUGAAAACGACCUAGAUUUGAAGGUGCAAACUACAAAUUCGUUAACCAACAUUUUUAGCAUUUGAGCUAUCGUUGUGAUUCCUUUGUUAGCAUGCCUUGAGGUAGGUAUAUAUAAGAUAGGGAGUUUUUCCGCGUGUUGUCUCCCCACUUGUGUUUGUGGUUAUAAUUGCUUUAAUUGAUUCCACGGGAAGUAAAAACGCACUAAUUGUCGUGUGCCACGUUUUGUCUUGGACCGAUGUAUUCGGGUUACGUUUUUGUGUGGAUCACAUCUGUUUCUGGUUAUUGUUUAUGUCUGUUAAGUAGCCGUAAGGUGAUUUAUGCUGUUUUUAUAAUAUAGCCGCAAUAGGGACUGAGAUAUUCUGAUUUUGACGUAGCAGAUCGCCCUUCAAAGAUGAAGAGAGAAAAACCUGCGACUGGUAAAGUUGGAGAUGAAUAUGUCGUCCCAAUCGCCUUUGAAUUGGCCUACCCCAUAGAAGGCACAAUGGGCUGCAAUUGGACAGCAGGUUAACAAAAGAACCUUCUAUGAGCUCUCAUGUGAUUCGUUUUUCACAUCUCUUGGAUAUUGAUUUAAAUCAUUUGUAGCGGUUCUUCGACCUCUCUCGUGCUGCUCUCUUGCUACGCGAAAGUCGGAAGUUUUUAGAAGGUACCGGUACUGUAAAAGACGGUAAAUCUACAUCUACUUCAUCAGCAAUAUCUUCAACAAUGCCACCGAUAUCGAUUCCUCCUUGAUCAACUUCCACAGACGAAUCUCCAUCUUUUACUUCUUCAACAAUGUCUACAACAAUCUCACCAAUAU
Molecule: long non-coding RNA, 1027 nt
Organism: Styela clava
Lineage: Eukaryota; Metazoa; Chordata; Ascidiacea; Stolidobranchia; Styelidae
Source: RefSeq, a predicted model, not a curated record